Molecule: ribosomal RNA, 520 nt
Filed under: uncultured Glomus
Lineage: Eukaryota; Fungi; Glomeromycota; Glomeromycetes; Glomerales; Glomeraceae
Description: SSU rRNA
Rfam family: Eukaryotic small subunit ribosomal RNA
Source: RNAcentral
AGCAGCCGCGGUAAUUCCAGCUCCAAUAGCGUAUAUUAAAGUUGUUGCAGUUAAAAAGCUCGUAGUUGAAUUUCGGGAUUAGUACGUUGGUCGUGCCUUAGGUACGUACUGGUGUUACUGGUUCCUACCUUCUGACGAACCAUCAUGUCAUUAAUUUGGUGUGGCGGGGAAUCAGGACUGUUACUUUGAAAAAAUUAGAGUGUUUAAAGCAGGCUCGCGCUUGAAUACAUUAGCAUGGAAUAAUGAAAUAGGACGUUGACCCUAUUUUGUUGGUUUCUAGGAUUGACGUAAUGAUUAAUAGGGAUAGUUGGGGGCAUUAGUAUUCAAUUGUCAGAGGUGAAAUUCUUGGAUUUAUUGAAGACUAACUACUGCGAAAGCAUUUGCCAAGGAUGUUUUCAUUAAUCAAGAACGAAAGUUAGGGAUCGAAGACGAUCAGAUACCGUCGUAGUCUUAACCAUAAACUAUGCCGACUAGGGAUCGGAUGAUGUUAAUUUUUAAUGUACUCAUUCGGCGCCUUACG